ACCUUCGUGGUGUAAUGGUCAGCACACCUGGCGCGUAUUCAAGAGGUCCGCAGUUCGAGUCCCGGCGAGGGCA
Non-coding RNA from Stegodyphus mimosarum, 73 nucleotides. The record is from Rfam. NCBI's taxonomy places the organism in Eukaryota, Metazoa, Arthropoda, Arachnida, Araneae, Eresidae.